This 84-nucleotide transfer RNA is filed under the name Microcaldota archaeon. Its description in RNAcentral is "tRNA-Leu". It matches the Rfam family "tRNA". Rfam says of the family: Transfer RNA (tRNA) molecules are approximately 80 nucleotides in length. Their secondary structure includes four short double-helical elements and three loops (D, anti-codon, and T loops). Further hydrogen bonds mediate the characteristic L-shaped molecular structure. tRNAs have two regions of fundamental functional importance: the anti-codon, which is responsible for specific mRNA codon recognition, and the 3' end, to which the tRNAs corresponding amino acid is attached (by aminoacyl-tRNA synthetases). tRNAs cope with the degeneracy of the genetic code in two manners: having more than one tRNA (with a specific anti-codon) for a particular amino acid; and 'wobble' base-pairing, i.e. permitting non-standard base-pairing at the 3rd anti-codon position. Lineage: Archaea; Nanobdellati; Microcaldota. The record is from RNAcentral.
GCAGGGGUGCCGGAGCGGCCAAACGGGUAUGGUUGAGGGCCAUAUGACUUAGUGUCUUCAAGAGUUCGAAUCUCUUCCCCUGCA